UUAAGUUCAGCGGGUAUUCCUACCUGAUCCGAGGUCAACCUUGUUAAGUGGUGUGUUUUACGGCAAGCACCCGCGCCACGCCCAGAGCGAGAUAUUGCUACUGCGCUCGGUGUGACAGCGAGCCCGCCACUGGUUAAGGGCCUGCGGCAGCCGCAGGUCCCCAACACAAGCCGGGGGCUUGAUGGUUGAAAUGACGCUCG
Molecule: unclassified non-coding RNA, 200 nt
Filed under: Sordariales sp.
Lineage: Eukaryota; Fungi; Ascomycota; Sordariomycetes; Sordariales
Description: partial internal transcribed spacer 2
Source: RNAcentral